This 403-nucleotide ribosomal RNA is filed under the name uncultured bacterium. RNAcentral describes it as "partial 16S ribosomal RNA". It matches the Rfam family "Bacterial small subunit ribosomal RNA", at positions 30 to 526 of the family's 1533-position model. The record is from RNAcentral.
AUUGAACGCUGGCGGCAGGCCUAACACAUGCAAGUCGAGCGAGCGGCGGACGGGUGAGUAAUGUAUGGGGACUGCCCGAUAGAGGGGGAUCACUCCUGGAAACGGUAGCUAAUACCGCAUACUAUCGGAUAACCCAUAUGGGAUUAGAUAGUAGGUGAGGUAAUGGCUCACCUAGGCGACGAUCCCUAGCUGGUAUGAGAGGAUGAUCAGCCACACUGGGCGUGGGACACGGCCCAGACUCCUACGGAGGCAGCAGUGGGGAAUAUUGCACAAGUGGCGCAAGCCUGAUGCAGCCAUGCCGCGUGUAUGAAGAAGGCACUAGGGUUGUAAAGUACUUUCAGUCGGGAGGCGUUACCGACAGAAGAAGCACCGGCUAACUCCGUGCCAGCAGCCGCGGUAAUUC